This is a long non-coding RNA of Microtus oregoni (creeping vole), 151 nucleotides long. RefSeq lists it as uncharacterized. The transcript is spliced from 3 exons. NCBI's taxonomy places the organism in Eukaryota, Metazoa, Chordata, Mammalia, Rodentia, Cricetidae. The record is from RefSeq and is a predicted model, not a curated record.
GUGUGGUGGAGAUUAAAAGCAGAAGUUGGCAUUUCAUGUAGCUCAAACUGGACUUAAAUUCCCUGUCCAGCUGAGGAUGACCCUAAUUUCUGAUCUUCCUGAAUCCACCUCUGUCUAGUGCUGGGAUUACAGGUGUUUGGUUCACAUCCAG